RNAcentral lists this long non-coding RNA (5066 nucleotides) under Sus scrofa (pig). RNAcentral describes it as "lncRNA (ENSSSCG00000063359.1)". The record is from RNAcentral. Lineage: Eukaryota; Metazoa; Chordata; Mammalia; Artiodactyla; Suidae.
GCUGUGCCCACAGCAUGUGGAAGUUCCUGGGCCAAAGAAUGAACCCGAGCCACAGCCGUGACCUAAAUCACUGCAGUGACAAUGACAGAUCCUUAACCCACUGCACCACAGAACUCCCGAGUUUUAAUUUUUGAGUUUCUUUUUUGAGCAGUUCUAUUUUUUGUAAGGAUUAGUUAUCACUUAAUUUUUAUUCUUUAUUAUAAGUUUUCCAAAGGAAAAAAAAUUACUUAUUUUUCUUAAAGAAAUAAGAUUAAUUCUAUAUUACCAUAGCAUCCAUUGGACCCUGUUGUACAUCUAAGUGACUUAGGGUGCUUAUUUUCCCAUGUCAUCGAAUAACAUUUGCUACUUCAUCAUUACUCAUGAGUUUUUCUGACCAAUAUGAAAGAAGAAGAAGAAUGGUGGAAUGACCUGGAUUCAGAGGAUAAUGCAAUAAUGAGAUAAAUCAACACAACUGCAUCAUUCAAGGCUUUCCCAUUGCAUUGCCAAAAGUAUGGCAUCAUCUUUAAGAAGGAAUAAGAGAAGACUGGACACACCAUCUUUGUAGCUUGCAUCAAACAUAGUAGAAGACAGUGAAUUCCUUUGCUUUCCAUUUAUCACGGCAAAGAGGAAAAAAUAAAGGAAGAUGUUUCACAAUCCUUCAAUGUAUCAGAAGAUGAAGGCAGAGGCGGCCAGACUUGGGCUCCAAGGACAAUGACGAAUUUGAUAGUAUGAGGGAAACUCCAGACAAUGAGUCUUCAGAUGACAAUAGCCUCCUCAACGAAUUUUCUCCAACUCAAAAUUUGAUGGGCAAAGUUUAUAUAUUUUAAGGACCAAAAUGAAAUACAGUCAAUUAUUCCAAUGGAAAGACUUCAUCGUGCAAUAUUUUGUCACAAGUACCUGGACCAUUCCAUUCGCUAAAAGGACAUCAUGAACUGGGAAUUGACCUACGUGGACACAGGUUGAAGGCAGCUGUGUAUAUGAAGAUGGCUGGAAGGAAACAGAGAAACUUGUUGGAUUGAUCGAUCUUAAUUGGUUUAUAAAUCUAAAAAUGAAAAUUCUGCACAACUAUGAAGCAAAAAGAUGACUAUCCUCUCUUCCUCAAAAAUCUUGUGCCAUCGAAGGUUUCCAUUUUUCCUUGUACUUCAGCGUGGCGAUGCAAGUGCAAGAAGAUGCAGAAGCAAUGACAAGCUAGACCUUACCAGACCUCACUGAGGGAAGUCUGAGUCAGUACCUACAGGACAAUGUUCCAGAGUCACACACAGCAGCUGAGAGGCUAUUAAUUCCAUUCAACUGGUAUUACUCACUUCAGGUGUGAAUAUGUUCAAAAUUAGGGAAAUACAGAAGGAAAACUUGGAACUUGUGUGUCCAGUUCUUGUGUCGAAAUUUCUAGUAGAGUUGUUUUUUCACUCUUACUUUUACAAAUUAUUUAUACAAUGACGGAAAAAUAUUUUUUAAAAAUUCCACUGUGAGUUCCCACGGGGCUCAGUGGCUUAUGAACCCAACUAGUAUCAUGAGGAUUUGGUUUGAUCCCUGGCCUCACUCAGCGGGUUAAGGAUUUGGUGUUGCCAUGAGCUGUGGUGUAGGCCGGCAGCUGCAGCUCUGAUUUGACCCCUCGCCUGGGAACUUCCAUAUGCCUCAGGUGAGGCCCUAAAAAGUGAAAAAAAAAAUUAAUAAAAUGAUAGGAGUUCCCAUCAUGGCACAGUAGAAAUGAAUUCGACUAGGAACCAUGAGGUUGCAGGUUCUAUCCCUGUCCUUGCUCAGUGGGUUAAGGAUCUGGCGUUGCCAUGAGCUGUGGUGUAGGUCGAAGACAUGGCUUGGAUCUGGUGUUGCUGUGGCUGUGGCACAGGCCGGUGGGUUCAGCUCUGAUUGGACCCCUAGCCUGGGAACCUCCACAUGCAGUGGGUGUGGCCCUCGAAAAGACAAAAAAAAUUAAUAAAACAAUAAAUAAAAGUUCCACCAGAUCCAGAUGUUAAGCAGGGGUGACUAUCUUCUCUGGUACAUUGAAGUUUGCAUGGGAUACAAAUUUCCCAAAAUAGACCCUGCACAACACUGUUUUUUAGUCAAAUAUGUUUGAGAAAUGUUAGCUAAAAGAGAGUUGUGUCAAUUUUUAACUGAAGGAUUUCUCUGAACCUUCAAUAUGCAAGAUGUCCAAACUGGUCUGACCAUGAAACUCUUGGGCUGGGGCAGAGUAUUUCAUGGGACUAGUGGUCGAUGGAAGAGUCUUAAAAAACUUCCCAAGCAGAUAAAAGGACAGCAAACCAAAUCAUAUUAUUCGUUAAAGUUAAAUUUAUGGAGGCUUCCCCCUGCCCUUUAUAGGGAAAAAUUGAAGUAUCAGAAACCCAGCUCCAUAGGAGAACCCCAAAGGAAGGCUGGGGCAAGAGAGAAGGAAUGGGCUGCUCAGAGGUCAGAGGGAGUUCUACUGAAUAGACAGGUGCAGAGUGAGGUUGCCAUGGUCUUGGACAAAGAGGACUCAAAGGGAAUUGCUUCCUUACCUUUAUUUUGAAAAGGAAGGGCAAGAUUAUUCUAGAGACAGGGAAUAUGAUUAGACUCUUGGGAGAGCAAAACUCUGUGCCCGAUGCAGAAUUCCUAAGGGUGGGUGGGAGGGAAGAAAGGAAGGCAGUGGUUCUGGAGCCUCAAGGGAGAGGGGACAUCUUUUUAAAAAUAUUCCUGACACAGAGUCCUGGGUUCCUGCCCCCUGGACGUUGCUGUGAACUGGAGCAACCACCUCUGAGACCACAAGGGUCCUGCUGUAGGGCUCCAGCCCUCACCACUGGAUUCUGUGUCCAGGAAGACCCUCACUGUCGUUGCAGAGUUAGUGGCAAAGUGGAGCCACAUGUCAGAGGGGCAGCUGCCUCUCAGUCCCCGAGUGAGCAGAGAUCCAGGACAGCCAGCUCUCCCACUUUUCAAGAUGGGCGAAAAGGGAGUUUCUGUUGUGGCUCAGGAGUAUCGAACCUGACUGGUAUAUAUGAGGCAGGUUUGAUCCCUGGCCUCGCUCAGUGGGUUAAGGACUUAGCAUGUAGGUUGCCAGCUGCAGCUCUGAUUUGACCCCUAGCCCGGGAACUUCCAUUUGCUACAGGUGCAGACCUAAAAAAAAAAAAAAAAAAAAAAAAUUUAAUUUAAUUUAAAAAAAAAAAAAGAUGGGUGGGUGAAACAUCUGGAUUUUCCUGUGAUCCUGUUUCUUCAUUGUUGAUCACUAAAUCAAAUUAUUUCAUCUGCCAGUCGAGUCAAACAGCACCCGUUUCCUGUUCCAGACAAGGUCCGUAGGGUUUGAGACCUCUGGGUGGGGCACUCAGAAUUCGGCGGGGUGGGGUGCAUGGCUUUCUCCAGCCACAUUCAGUAGCCACCUGACUAUUCAGCCUUUAGCAGGCUUGGGGAGUGAGAAUGCUGGAAGAUGGGGAACUCCCUGUCGGCUCAGCAAGUUAAGGAUCGGGCAUUGUAGCUGCUGGGGCUGGGGUCAUGGCUGUGCCACAGGUUCAAUCCCUGGCCACAGAACUUCCAAAUGCUGUGGGAGUGGCCCCAAAAAAGUGAAGCACAGAAGGGUCUCUGCAGCCGGGGCCCAGCGAGAGAUCAGACUUCAGUCCCCAGGAGAACAAAGAACUGAGUGAGAAGAAAUGAGAGAGACAGUGUUGGAAGUCAAGAGCUCCAAAAAUAAACCUUUGCCUUUUAUCACUUUUUUACUUCAGUUGCUCUCAACUCGCCUUUUUUUUUUUUUUUUUUUUUUUUUUUUUUUUUUUUUUGUAAUUCUAACAAUUCCACAGACAACCAGAAGUGUGAAGAAAAGCAAGCAACAGUAGGUUUCCACGGAUCUGCUCUGCGCUGAUCCUGCCCUCAGCCCGCUGGUUCCCAAGGUGGGCACACACCCUCUCUUUCAAAAGGCCCAGUCCUAGAGUCAGACCACAAGCCAAGGCCACAGGCAACGGUGUAGGGCUGCCUCUGCCUUGGUCCCAGUGGCUGUCUUCCAAGAAGUGCUGGAACAGCCCAAGUAGCAAGCAAGCAGUGCCCUAAGAAGUGGUCAGCAGUUGGAAACAGCUGGAGGGAGGAGGGCCCGCGAGCAAAUAUCAGAGUUUGGGAGAUAAGGCUUUGGCUGAACAAAGUUCACUUGUUUUCCAAGAAAGCAGGACCUGGGUGGAGGUUGGGGGGACGCCCCAGAGAACAGAGCAAGGAGCAGUGAAAUGCACACUGGCUUUCAACUUCUGAGGCCUGGGACACUUGGCCACCCAACAGUGACCAGGGCCAUUGUUGUUCCCCUUGGGGCAAAGGGCAGGCGGCAGCUCCGUGUGAGAGGGCAAAGAUGGACAGGCAGUCAAAGCAAGACUAAGUGACAGAGAUGGAGGGCAAGAUAAAAGGAAAAACACCUGAAAGGCCAUUGGUGCUUUCCUGGGCUAUGCAAAUUCACUUAACUCAUCUCCCUCUCAUUCAUUAGUUCAUCUGGAUCAUUUAGAGCUGUUCAGUCCUGCAGGUGCCGACCUUUUGCAGUGAGCGCUCUAUCCCUAGCAGAGUUGGAGCCGAAGCUCAACUAUUAUCUAUCAGAAAUUCUGCUAAAAGGAGGAGAGGUUGGGUCAGCUACCUUCUAAUUCUUAAAACUGUAUCUUAGCAGGAGCUCCUGCAGUGACGCAAGCUCUUUGUAAAUUAGUGAACUGUUCUUGGGAGUCGUUAUUAUUUUUCUAACUCAAAAAAGUCAUUUUAUUUAUCUCAUACCAGGAAUUCUUAUGCUUUACAUGUUUGUAUCCCUACGACACCCCCAGCCCUGAACCUGAAACAUAACAAGUGCCCAAUAGAUGUUUGUUGAAUAAAUUAGUUAUAAAGAUAGGGCACAUAGGAGUUCCCAUCCUGGCUCAGCGGAAGCAAAUCUGACUAGCAUCCAAGAAGAUGCAGGUUUCGAUCCCUGGCCUUGCUCAGUGGGUUAAGGAUCCGGCAUUGCCUGAACUGUGGUGUAGGUCAUAGACGCGGCUCGGAUCCAGCAUUGCCGUGGCUGUGGCAUAGACCAGCAGCUACAGCUCCAAUUCUACCCCUAGCCUGGGAACUUCCAUACCCUGCAGGUGUGGCCCUCAAAGGACAAAAGACAAAAAAAAAAAAAAAAAAAAAAA